GACGAACGCUGGCGGCGUGCUUAACACAUGCAAGUCGAACGGAAAGGCCUUUUCGGAGGUACUCGAGUGGCGAACGGGUGAGUAACACGUGGGUGAUCUGCCCUGCACUCUGGGAUAAGCCUGGGAAACUGGGUCUAAUACCGGAUAGGACCGCACUUUAGUGUGUGUGGUGGAAAGUUUUUUCGGUGUAGGAUGAGCCCGCGGCCUAUCAGCUUGUUGGUGGGGUAAUGGCCUACCAAGGCGGCGACGGGUAGCCGGACUGAGAGGUUGGUCGGCCACAUUGGGACUGAGAUACGGCCCAGACUCCUACGGGAGGCAGCAGUGGGGAAGAUUGCACAAUGGGCGCAAGCCUGAUGCAGCGACGCCGCGUGGGGGAUGACGGCCUUCGGGUUGUAAACUCCGUUCGCCAGGGACGAAGCGUUUUGUGACGGUACCUGGAGAAGAAGCACCGGCUAACUACGUG
RNAcentral lists this ribosomal RNA (463 nucleotides) under uncultured bacterium. Its description in RNAcentral is "partial 16S ribosomal RNA". It matches the Rfam family "Bacterial small subunit ribosomal RNA", at positions 28 to 507 of the family's 1533-position model. The record is from RNAcentral.